GCCAGGAGGGCACUAAUCUCCGUUAGCGAAGAAGGCUGGUGGCUGCCUGCUGGCCUUGACCCUCACACUUUUCCAGUCUUGCCUGACCGGCCCCUCGAGCCAGGAGCCCUUCCCUUCGGCCGUCAGAGGUCGGCGCCCUGGCUUGGUCCCCCGGCCACUGCGUGCAGCCCCGCGGCCGCCUCCACGCCGGAUCGCGAAGAAUGCUGGCUGGCCUUGAUUCUGACACUUUUCCUGCCUGCUCGGUCCCUCGAGCCAGGAGCCUUUCCCUUCGGCCGUCAGGACUGUGCUCCUGGGUACCACAGAGGGAAGCUCCCAGAAAGCAGUGCCUGGGGACCGCGCCCUCUACUGGCUCCUUGUGUGCCCUGCAGUUGCAACAACCACAGUGAUGUCUGUGACCCGG
Molecule: long non-coding RNA, 400 nt
Organism: Microtus oregoni (creeping vole)
Lineage: Eukaryota; Metazoa; Chordata; Mammalia; Rodentia; Cricetidae
Exons: 3
Source: RefSeq, a predicted model, not a curated record